Molecule: non-coding RNA, 115 nt
Organism: Triticum urartu
Lineage: Eukaryota; Viridiplantae; Streptophyta; Magnoliopsida; Poales; Poaceae
Source: Rfam
ACCAUACUCCCUUCGUUCGGAAUUACUUGUCACAAAAAUGAAUGUAUCUAGGCAUAUUUUAAUUCUAGAUACAUCCAUUUUCGAGACAAGUAAUUCCGAACGGAUGGAGUACUUC